This 1353-nucleotide ribosomal RNA is filed under the name Alloalcanivorax dieselolei. RNAcentral's name for it is "bacterial SSU rRNA". It matches the Rfam family "Bacterial small subunit ribosomal RNA", at positions 8 to 1359 of the family's 1533-position model. The record is from RNAcentral. Lineage: Bacteria; Pseudomonadati; Pseudomonadota; Gammaproteobacteria; Oceanospirillales; Alcanivoracaceae.
AGAGUUUGAUCCUGGCUCAGAUUGAACGCUGGCGGCAGGCCUAACACAUGCAAGUCGAGCGGAAACGAUGGGAGCUUGCUCCCAGGCGUCGAGCGGCGGACGGGUGAGUAACACGUGGGAAUCUGCCCAUUAGUGGGGGAUAACUCGGGGAAACUCGAGCUAAUACCGCAUAAUCCCUACGGGGGAAAGCAGGGGAUCUUCGGACCUUGCGCUGAUGGAUGAGCCCGCGUCGGAUUAGCUUGUUGGUGGGGUAAUGGCCCACCAAGGCGACGAUCCGUAACUGGUCUGAGAGGAUGGCCAGUCACACCGGGACUGAGACACGGCCCGGACUCCUACGGGAGGCAGCAGUGGGGAAUCUUGGACAAUGGGCGCAAGCCUGAUCCAGCCAUGCCGCGUGUGUGAAGAAGGCCUUCGGGUUGUAAAGCACUUUCAGUAGGGAGGAAGGCUUUGGGCUAAUACCCUGGAGUACUUGACGUUACCUACAGAAGAAGCACCGGCUAAUUUCGUGCCAGCAGCCGCGGUAAUACGAAAGGUGCGAGCGUUAAUCGGAAUUACUGGGCGUAAAGCGCGCGUAGGCGGUGUGUUAAGUCGGAUGUGAAAGCCCAGGGCUCAACCUUGGAAUUGCAUCCGAUACUGGCACGCUAGAGUGCAGUAGAGGGAGGUGGAAUUUCCGGUGUAGCGGUGAAAUGCGUAGAGAUCGGAAGGAACACCAGUGGCGAAGGCGGCCCCUGGACUGACACUGACGCUGAGGUUGCGAAAGCGUGGGGAGCAAACAGGAUUAGAUAACCCUGGUAGUCCACGCUGUAAACGAUGUCUACCUUAGCCGUUCGGGGUCCUUAGUGACUUUGGUGGCGCAGCUAAAGACCGCCUGGGGAGUACGGCCGCAAGGUUAAAACUCAAAUGAAUUGACGGGGGCCCGCACAAGCGGUGGAGCAUGUGGUUUAAUUCGAUGCAACGCGAAGAACCUUACAGGCCUUGACAUCCUGCGAACUUUCUAGAGAUAGAUUGGUGCCUUCGGGAACGCAGUGACAGGUGCUGCAUGGCUGUCGUCAGCUCGUGUCGUGAGAUGUUGGGUUAAGUCCCGUAACGAGCGCAACCCUUGUCCUUAGUUGCCAGCACUUCGGGUGGGAACUCUAGGGAGACUGCCGGUGACAAACCGGAGGAAGGUGGGGACGACGUCAAGUCAUCAUGGCCCUUACGGCCUGGGCUACACACGUGCUACAAUGGUUGGUACAGAGGGUUGCGAAGUCGCGAGGCGGAGCUAAUCUCUCAAAGCCAAUCGUAGUCCGGAUUGGAGUCUGCAACUCGACUCCAUGAAGUCGGAAUCGCUAGUAAUCGCGGAUCAGAAUGCCG